UAGAGAUGUGGAGGAACACCAGUGGCGAAGGCGACUCUCUGGUCUGUAACUGACGCUGAGGAGCGAAAGCGUGGGGAGCGAACAGGAUUAGAUACCCUGGUAGUCCACGCCGUAAACGAUGAGUGCUAAGUGUUAGGGGGUUUCCGCCCCUUAGUGCUGCAGCUAACGCAUUAAGCACUCCGCCUGGGGAGUACGGUCGCAAGACUGAAACUCAAAGGAAUUGACGGGGGCCCGCACAAGCGGUGGAGCAUGUGGUUUAAUUCGAAGCAACGCGAAGAACCUUACCAGGUCUUGACAUCCUCUGACAAUCCUAGAGAUAGGACGUCCCCUUCGGGGGCAGAGUGACAGGUGGUGCAUGGUUGUCGUCAGCUCGUGUCGUGAGAUGUUGGGUUAAGUCCCGCAACGAGCGCAACCCUUGAUCUUAGUUGCCAGCAUUCAGUUGGGCACUCUAAGGUGACUGCCGGUGACAAACCGGAGGAAGGUGGGGAUGACGUCAAAUCAUCAUGCCCCUUAUGACCUGGGCUACACACGUGCUACAAUGGACAGAACAAAGGGUAGCGAAACCGCGAGGUUAAGCCAAUCCCACAAAUCUGUUCUCAGUUCGGAUCGCAGUCUGCAACUCGACUGCGUGAAGCUGGA
Molecule: ribosomal RNA, 639 nt
Filed under: Bacillus tequilensis
Lineage: Bacteria; Bacillati; Bacillota; Bacilli; Caryophanales; Bacillaceae
Description: bacterial SSU rRNA
Rfam family: Bacterial small subunit ribosomal RNA
Source: RNAcentral